UGGGGAAUAUUGCACAAUGGGCGAAAGCCUGAUGCAGCGACGCCGCGUGAGGGAUGACGGCCUUCGGGUUGUAAACCUCUUUCAGUAGGGACGAAGCGCAAGUGACGGUACCUGCAGAAGAAGCACCGGCUAACUACGUGCCAGCAGCCGCGGUAAUACGUAGGGUGCGAGCGUUGUCCGGAAUUACUGGGCGUAAAGAGCUCGUAGGCGGUUUGUCACGUCGUCUGUGAAAUCCUAGGGCUUAACCCUGGACGUGCAGGCGAUACGGGCUGACUUGAGUACUACAGGGGAGACUGGAAUUUCUGGUGUAGCGGUGGAAUGCACAGAUAUCAGGAAGAACACCGAUGGCGAAGGCAAGUCUCUGGGUAGUAACUGACGCUGAGGAGCGAAAGCAUGGGUAGCGAACAGG
RNAcentral lists this ribosomal RNA (409 nucleotides) under bacterium. Its description in RNAcentral is "partial 16S ribosomal RNA". It matches the Rfam family "Bacterial small subunit ribosomal RNA", at positions 355 to 776 of the family's 1533-position model. The record is from RNAcentral.